GAUGAACGCUGGCGGCGUGCCUAAUACAUGCAAGUCGAGCGAACAGACGAGGAGCUUGCUCCUCUGACGUUAGCGGCGGACGGGUGAGUAACACGUGGAUAACCUACCUAUAAGACUGGGAUAACUUCGGGAAACCGGAGCUAAUACCGGAUAAUAUAUUGCACCGCAUGGUUCAAUAGUGAAAGACGGUUUUGCUGUCACUUAUAGAUGGAUCCGCGCCGCAUUAGCUAGUUGGUAAGGUAACGGCUUACCAAGGCAACGAUGCGUAGCCGACCUGAGAGGGUGAUCGGCCACACUGGAACUGAGACACGGUCCAGACUCCUACGGGAGGCAGCAGUAGGGAAUCUUCCGCAAUGGGGGAAAGCUUGACGGAGCAACGCCGCGUGAGUGAUGAAGGUCUUCGGAUCGUAAAACUCUGUUAUUAGGGAAGAACAAAUGUGUAAGUAACUAUGCACGUCUUGACGGUACCUAAUCAGAAAGCCACGGCUAACUACGUG
RNAcentral lists this ribosomal RNA (497 nucleotides) under uncultured bacterium. Its description in RNAcentral is "partial 16S ribosomal RNA". It matches the Rfam family "Bacterial small subunit ribosomal RNA", at positions 28 to 507 of the family's 1533-position model. The record is from RNAcentral.